AGUGAACGCUGGCGGCAGGCCUAACACAUGCAAGUCGAACGGCAGCACGGCAGUAGCAAUACUGUGGUGGCGAGUGGCGGACGGGUGAGGAAUACAUCGGGAUCUACCCUGUUGUGGGGGAUAACGUAGGGAAACUUACGCUAAUACCGCAUAAGAACUGAGGUUGAAAGCGGCGGACCGCAAGGCGUCGCGCGAUUGGAUGAACCGAUGUCCGAUUAGCUAGUUGGCGGGGUAAAGGCCCACCAAGGCGACGAUCGGUAGCUGGUCUGAGAGGACGACCAGCCACGCUGGAACUGAGACACGGUCCAGACUCCUACGGGAGGCAGCAGUGGGGAAUAUUGGACAAUGGGCGCAAGCCUGAUCCAGCCAUGCCGCGUGGGUGAAGAAGGCC
Molecule: ribosomal RNA, 391 nt
Filed under: uncultured bacterium
Lineage: Bacteria
Description: bacterial SSU rRNA
Rfam family: Bacterial small subunit ribosomal RNA
Source: RNAcentral